This 257-nucleotide ribosomal RNA is filed under the name uncultured bacterium. RNAcentral describes it as "partial 16S ribosomal RNA". It matches the Rfam family "Bacterial small subunit ribosomal RNA", at positions 524 to 776 of the family's 1533-position model. The record is from RNAcentral.
UACGUAGGGUGCGAGCGUUAAUCGGAAUUACUGGGCGUAAAGCGUGCGCAGGCGGUUUGUUAAGACAGAUGUGAAAUCCCCGGGCUUAACCUGGGAACUGCAUUUGUGACUGGCAAGCUAGAGUAUGGCAGAGGGGGGUAGAAUUCCACGGUGUAGCAGUGAAAUGCGUAGAGAAUGUGGGAGGAAUACCAAUGGCGAAGGCAGCCCCCUGGGUUAACACUGACGCUCCAUGCACGAAAGCGUGGGGAGCAAACAGG